Molecule: long non-coding RNA, 561 nt
Organism: Selaginella moellendorffii
Lineage: Eukaryota; Viridiplantae; Streptophyta; Lycopodiopsida; Selaginellales; Selaginellaceae
Exons: 5
Source: RefSeq, a predicted model, not a curated record
GGCACUAGCAUUACGUUGUAGGAUCAUCCUGGAUCUAUGCGAGACAGUUGAGCUGUUCCGGGGCUUGUUUCACGAGGCAGCAUUGGGACGAGGUGGUACACAUAUCCGGAACUCCAGCCUCGAAAAGCUUUCUGAUAUCCGACUUUUAAAGGGGGACCAUCUCGCCCUGCGCGUACAGUGUGUCAACAUUCUGGGAUGACAUGGCGACACUCCCACCAAAGCUUUUGAGCGAGUUGCCGGACGCGAGUUUAGCAGCGGGAGGCGAGCAUGUUGUCAUCUUCCAGUGCAGCCAAGGAUUGCAGGUUUCGGUGGUGCUGGUUCCAAUUCAGGUCGCGGCUGCGUUCCCUGUUGCUGGGCUCUGAAUUGAAAUCAGCGCCCUUGAAAGUUUGCGAUCCACACGGGGGAAAUCCAUCGGUGCUAUUUUCUCUCGAUGUCUUUGCACUGGAACAAAUACGUUACAACGCGUGAGGCAAGACGUUCGUCGUGGAUCAAUCAGGUACUAGGUUUUUUUAUUUGGCGCUCAAAGCGUUAACUAUAGUGGCAAAAAGUACUAUGUUUACA